Molecule: long non-coding RNA, 4026 nt
Organism: Podarcis muralis (Common wall lizard)
Lineage: Eukaryota; Metazoa; Chordata; Lepidosauria; Squamata; Lacertidae
Source: Ensembl
AAGCUGUGAUCACGUGUAUAAAACCAGCGUAAAAUGAAAUCUACCUGGGCUUUCCCCCCCAGUUGGACCUCGCUGGAACUCAGUUCUGGCACCUCUCAGGUGGGCACCACUGGCAUUAGAGAACAAGGGAGGCGUUCACGUUUCACAAAGAAGCCAAUGGUGCAACACAGAAUGGUUGUACAUGAAACUCUUUGUAGCCAGAUUUUUUUUUUUAAAAAAGGUACCACAUAGGAGUAUUUCUGGCACGUACCGCUCCACUGCUGAGGACUACUCUAAUGCUGACCAAGAGAACGGAUUUCUAGCUCUGUGUAGCAAAUGUGCCUUCAGACAAAUAAGGUUAUUCUAGGGUUAUCGUGAACCCACCCAACUUCACUGAAAAUGGAACUUUCCCCUGUGCAGUAUUCAAAUACAGGGGUGGGGAUGUACGCAUGAGUUGGCAGCCUCACAAGCUUGUCUACAGCUGCUACAAUAACCGAAGAACCCGAUUAGGACUUGCAAUCCUACUCCCCACUUAUCUAGGAGUAAACCACACUGAAUUAGAUAGGAUUUACUUCUGAGUAGAAAGGGUUAGGUUCACACUGUUAUGUCUCUAGUUUAGCUUGGAAAGACCACGCAGGCAAUAUUCUAGCCAGUUGCUCAGUUCAUUAAAAGUGAUUCUGUCCAUCCGGAUUCUGGACACACAGUGAGAAUCAAAGGCAGCAGUGAUGCUCAGUUUUCCUUCCACUGUACAGUAUAUCCAGAGAAGAGGGAGGAAAAAAGACUUCUGUAGUUGCUUCCUUUGUCAAUUAUAGCAGUUGUCUAGGAUUGAUAACAUUACCCUAGCUGUUGGGGAAGGUGCAUGUGCAUUCUUAACUGAUUUAAGCGACCACUUUUCUGGGACUUGGUAUGUCCAUCUCUGUUAUUGGAAAAUAAACUCUGCAUCGUAGGGAAUAACGGAAAUCACUUUAGGCUUCUUAAAAGUGCAGUGGGUCAUUCCCUGUGUCCUCACUUUAUGCAGCCUGGUUCUAAGAUAUAUAUAGAUAUAUAUAGAUAUUUGCUUUCGUAGAUUUUCACGGGUACAGGAAUGCAGGUUUUGGUGUCCUCGGGUGUCUUCCCGUGUAAAAGUUGGGGUGUCUAGGCGACGUUUCGACGAGGUCUCACUCGUCAUCUUCAGGCUGGUGCUUUCGGCUUCUUGUUACUCUGUUCCAGUAACAAGAAGCCGAAAGCACCAGCCUGAAGAUGACGAGUGAGACCUCGUCGAAACGUCGCCUAGACACCCCAACUUUUACACGGGAAGACACCCGAGGACACCAAAACCUGCAUAUAUAUAGAUAUAUAUAGAUAUAUAUAACCCCACAACAUUAUUGCUAUGGGGUGGUUGGAAAUCAUUCUGUCGAAAGCCACCACAUUUUAUGUUGCCGUUUUGGAUAAAUUCAAACGAGAAGACUAGAAACUCUUACGAAAAUAUUUUAUUGUCUCAGUGUUGAUCUACUAUUAUUAUGCAAAGACUCGCCUUAUAAAAGCCAGAAAAGCCAACCGCUGUUACAGAAAUUUUAAAAAAAACAACAGUGGACAAUACAAAUUAUGGACAAUACAAAUUCCUGCAGCAAUGAUGAUUAGGCGCUUUGAUAUUAUCAGGACAGAAACAGAGGUUAUUUCCAUACCAGAGCCCUUUAGCACUGCUAAGGCACUGCAAAAAUGGAGCCAUCUUUACCAUCCAGCACGGAGCUAAGCAAAUGUAUAAGCUGGCAAGAAAGGGAAUGUCCCCCUCUCUCGGAAAUUCUGGUAUGAAUUGGAAAAAGCAUCUUCCAGGAAUUUGCAGUUAUCAUAACAACCACUCAAGUUUCCCUAUGAAUCCACCUGGGUAGUUACACAAACAACAAUAUGUUGGCCAUGCAAUGCUUGUCUGCUAAGGGCCAUGGUUCACAUUAUGACUUCAGCAGAUUAUGCUAUGCCAAUGUCUAAAAAGAAAAGAAAAGAAAUGUAUUGUCUAAAUGGUAAAUGAGGCACACAAUCAGCUUCAGAACAAGAUCCAAGAACUGGACCCUAUACUGGAGUUGGUUUCAUGUGUCCUUUUUUUUGGAAAUUUUAACUUGAAAGGCCACAGAGGAGCACUGUUGUGUGGAACAGUAACUAAUACCUCAGUUGCAGCACUUGACAGAUAGAUAGAUAACAUAUGGAGCGACUUAUUCUGGAAACAGGGAAACAGGUGUCUAGACAAGGGUAUUCUUUCACAGUCAGGCAAUAAGGCAGUCUGGAACCAUCUAAAAUAAACCCCAAUUUACACACGACUGUAUCAAAUAUGCUUACUGGAUGCACAGCCACAUAUACUACUCACUUAAACACUAAUGAAUACUAAACUUUCAAAACAAAGUUCAAAACUUCGGAUUGGCACAGCAUUGUACUCUGAAACUAGAUGAGGGGCCAUCAAUCUUUUUGGAUCAGUGGGCUGUGGGCGCCUGUCAAAAAAUGGCUCCCACUCGACAUGGCCACUGUGGGAGGCAUGACAUAAUACAACAUGAGGCAGUGCGGUCAUGGCAAAGUUUCCCCCAUAAUUCUACUUCCAUAUUGGAAAAUGUGUAGCCUGGCUUUAUUUAUUUAUUAAAUUUAUAUACCUGAGGAUCGCAGGGCCGUUUACAAUGUAAAAACACAAAAAUGCGUACCAUUGAUUGUAACAAACAAAAACAACCACCCCCUCACAGUUCAAAAGGCUGUAGAUUUAAUUAGCCAAAGGCCUGGGAGAAGAGAAAGGCUUUUGCCAGCACCUAGAGAUAUGUAACGAAGGUGCCAGGCGAGCCUCCCUGGGGAGGGCAUUCCACAAGCAGGGAGCCACCACAGAAAAGGCCCGUCCUCGUGUUGCUGCCCUCCAGACGUCUUGAGGAUGAGGAACACAAAGAAGGACCUCAGAUGAUGAUCGCAAAUGAUGGGUUGGCUCAUAUGAUGAAUUUCUGCCUGCCAUACAGCUGUUAAAGGCGCAAGAACUCUGUUUUCACCCAAUGCCAACCCUAAACCAAAUCAACACAAGAUAAUAUCACCAAGGCAACUAUCCGUAAACAAGCAAUAAACAUCCAUAAAAAUGGCGAAAGUAGUUUCUUUCCCCAAUCAGUUUUCUCUUAAACAAGAGCAAACACAGUAGAUGGACUCUUCAUUACUGUGUUUGCAAUUGUUCAAGAUAAAAUCUAUUUUGGAAAGAGAAGAAAUGAGCACUGAACCACUGACAUAUUACAAGUGAACUCUUUAUUUACGGCGAUUGCUAUUGUUUCAGAUAAAACUGAUUUGGGAAAGAAACUAUUUUCGCCAUUUUUAUGGACCUUUAUUGUUUGUUUACAGAUGCCUUGGUGAUAUUAUAUUGCAUCAAUUGCAGUAGUCAUUGUAUCACCACCCUGUUCAUUGCUUUAUUGUUAAACCCUAAACCCAUUAAAUAUUGAGCUACUUUUGCGUAGACAUGGAUACCACUGUAGUGUAAGUUAACGAUACAGUGAAUUCCUAAGGAGUGUCUGCUCUUUUGCUCCUGCAUAGCAAGUGACACAAAAAGUUUUCACUUUCACAUUUUGGGGCGAGGGGGAUCCUUUAACAUCCACCCACAUUUAUUCGGUGGUGAUAUUUGCAGAAAAUAACUUCUAGGGACUGAUCUCAGACAAAUCCACCACAAAAAUGAUGAAUCCUAGUUGCUCAUGAAAACAGGAGGGAAAAUGGCAGAGAUGCUAAGAACGAGAAAAUAAAGACAUAAGCAGGAAAAGUACAUCAAAGCAGAGGAGGAAACAGCAGCUUUUUAGGACUCCGGAGAUUCCUAUAACCUGGUAUCCAAACAACUCAUUAUCACAGCUCUGACUUCACUCAGUGGAAGUGAGGCAGGCUCAUUUCACAGAAGGGGGACCAUCACAUUUUGCUUCAUGAGUUUUGUUCUAGGAGGGCUACAGACUUAUUUUUUUAAAAAAAAAACAAGAGCUUGGAGUCUGGGGUGCCAAUGAAAGCUAUUCCAAGGGCAAUAGUUUCUACGUUCUGCCCGGACACUGAGGUCCAGCGCCGAGGGCCUUCUGGCGGUUC